Molecule: ribosomal RNA, 845 nt
Filed under: uncultured bacterium
Lineage: Bacteria
Description: bacterial SSU rRNA
Rfam family: Bacterial small subunit ribosomal RNA
Source: RNAcentral
GCUGGCGGUGCGCCUUAUGCAUGCAAGUCGAGCGAAGCUUUUCAGUAGUUUACUACAGAAAAUGACUGAGCGGCGAACGGGUGAGUAACGCGUGAGCAAUCUACCUUAGUUACAGGGAUAGCCCGAGGAAACUCGGAUUAAUACCUGAUAUUCUUUAUAUUUCGCAUGAAAUUAAAAGGAAAGGUCAGCCGAACUAAGAUGAGCUCGCGUUCUAUCAGCUAGUUGGUGAGGUAAAAGCUCACCAAGGCUACGACGGAUAGCUGGUCUGAGAGGACGAUCAGCCACACUGGGACUGAGACACGGCCCAGACUCCUACGGGAGGCUGCAGCAGGGAAUAUUGCGCAAUGAGCGAAAGCUUGACGCAGCGACACCGCGUGUGGGAUGACGGAUCUAGGUUUGUAAACCACUUUCAGGAGGGAAGAAAAUGACGGUACCUCCACAAGAAGCCCCGGCCAACUACGUGCCAGCAGCCGCGGUAAUACGUAGGGGGCGAGCGUUGUCCGGAUUUAUUGGGCGUAAAGAGCUCGUAGGCGGUUCAACAAGUCGGUCGUGAAAGUUCAGGGCUCAACCCUGAAAUGUCGAUCGAUACUGUUGUGACUAGGAUACGGUAGAGGUGAGUGGAAUUCCGAGUGUAGCGGUGAAAUGCGUAGAUAUUCGGAGGAACACCAAUUGCGAAGGCAGCUCACUGGGCCGCUAUCGACGCUGAGGAGCGAAAGCUAGGGGAGCAAACAGGAUUAGAUACCCUGGUAGUCCUAGCUGUAAACGAUGGAUACUAGACGUAGGAACUGGAUUGACGGUUUCUGUGUCGCAGCUAACGCGUUAAGUAUCCCGCCUGGGGAGUACGG